RNAcentral lists this long non-coding RNA (298 nucleotides) under Ananas comosus (pineapple). RNAcentral describes it as "long non-coding RNA (ACOM_LNC034890)". Lineage: Eukaryota; Viridiplantae; Streptophyta; Magnoliopsida; Poales; Bromeliaceae. The record is from RNAcentral.
GAAGCUACAAGUACAACACAAGAGUUCUAAAUCAAAUAUAGAUAUAGAGGAUAUAUAUGAAAAGAUAUUUGUUUUUAUAGAUUUAUGAAUUAAAAAAAUAGAUUAGAGCAUUUUUAAGUUGGUUCUUAAUAAAUGUGGUACUAAAAGUGAUAUUUAAAGUAGUAUUGAUAGUAAAUAUAUGAUAUAUUGUAAACGUGUGACAAUAUUGAUAGUAAAUAGUAGAUAUAUAAUAAUGUUUAUAGUAAAUUCAUGAUAAUGUUUAUAGUAAAUAUAUGAUAAUAUAAAUAAUAAAUAAUAA